AGGGCACCACCAGGAGUGGAGCCUGCGGCUUAAUUUGACUCAACACGGGGAAACUCACCCGGCCCGGACACUGGAAGGAUUGACAGAUUGAUGGCUCUUUCUUGAUUCGGUGGAUGGUGGUGCAUGGCCGUUCUUAGUUGGUGGAGCGAUCUGUCUGGUUAAUUCCGAUAACGAACGAGACUCUAGCCUAUUAAAUAGACGUCGGGUUCUCUGCACUCGACGGUCUUCUUAGAGGGACAAGGUGCUUUUAGCACCGCGAAACAGAGCAAUAACAGGUCUGUGAUGCCCUUAGAUGUCCGGGGCCGCACGCGCGCUACACUGAAGGAAGCAGCGUGUAACAACCUUGUUCUAACGAACUGGGUAACCCGUGGAACUUCCUUCAUGAUUGGGAUAGGGGUUUGCAAUUGUGCCCCUUGAACGAGGAAUUCCCAGUAAACACUAGUCAUCAGCUAGUGCUGAUUACGUCCCUGCCCUUUGUACACACCGCCCGUCGCUACUACCGAUUGAAUGGUUUAGUGA
Molecule: ribosomal RNA, 519 nt
Filed under: uncultured eukaryote
Lineage: Eukaryota
Description: SSU rRNA
Rfam family: Eukaryotic small subunit ribosomal RNA
Source: RNAcentral